RNAcentral lists this ribosomal RNA (464 nucleotides) under Schmidingerella taraikaensis. Its description in RNAcentral is "partial Bacterial large subunit ribosomal RNA". It matches the Rfam family "Bacterial large subunit ribosomal RNA", at positions 1 to 516 of the family's 2925-position model. The record is from RNAcentral. Lineage: Eukaryota; Ciliophora; Spirotrichea; Tintinnida; Rhabdonellidae.
GUCAAGCAAUUAAGCGUACGUGGUGGAUGCCUUGGCAGCUAGAGGCGAUGAAGGACGUGGUAGGCCACGAAAGGCUUCGGGGAGCAGUCAAACAUGCUUUGAUCCGGAGGUAUCCGAAUGGGGAAACCCAACCAGCUUGCUGGUUACCUUGCACUGAAUACAUAGGUGUAAGGGGCGAACGCGGAGAACUGAAACAUCUAAGUACCCGGAGGAAAAGAAAUCAACCGAGAUUCCCAAAGUAGCGGCGAGCGAAAUGGGAUUAGCCCUUAAGUUACAGUGGAUUUAGCAGAACGCUCUGGAAAGUGCGGCGAUAGAGGGUGAUAGCCCCGUAUGCGAAAGGUCCAUUGUAGUGAAAACGAGUAGGUCGGGACACGUGAAAUCCUGAUUGAAUAUGGGGGGACCAUCCUCCAAGGCUAAAUACUCCUAGCUGACCGAUAGUGAACUAGUACCGUGAGGGAAAGGUG